CCUGGUAUUAUAUAAUGAGAGGAAGGUUGUUUCAGGAUGUCACUCUGAAUUCUUCCACUUCUAGAGAAAAUUGAAAACUGGCUAAACGCUAGCCGCUGCGCGAAAGAAGCUAUAGACUCUGCACAAUCGGCGCAGAUCAACGCAAGUGAUGCUUGGUUUCCUGAGGAGGCAGCUGCUCAUUGUGGGCAUCGUUGCGUUUGCUCUCCUUGCCGUUGGGCAGACCAAAGCAAGUGAAGAGCCCAUCCCUACCGGAGAAACGGAAGAACGUUGCGGCAUCGUGAGCUUCCUCUGGGACAUGCUCCGUAACGGGGCUGGCAAAUUCAUGGAAGGCGGCCAAAGUAGCCCGAGUGGCACAGAAACAGAAGGCGUUGAAUAAUCUGCACAAUUCAUUCCUUGAUGCUAGGCUAGAUGAAUAGGCAAGACACUGUCUUGGAAAAGGUGGAUGUUCAUAAACAAACAGGUUGAAACGUUGAUGUCUAAAUAUAUAUUUUGGAGAACA
Molecule: long non-coding RNA, 499 nt
Organism: Rhipicephalus microplus (southern cattle tick)
Lineage: Eukaryota; Metazoa; Arthropoda; Arachnida; Ixodida; Ixodidae
Source: RefSeq, a predicted model, not a curated record